CUUACUAUGCUGGGUGAUGAAUUGGCUCGAUGGUAGAGCUCAAAGGGUUCUAGUAAAUGGGGCUACAUCUGUCUGGCAGAUGGUAACUUAAAGCAAUGUUCCCCAGGGCUCAAUUCUAGAGGUAAUCCUUUUCCUUUUUAUCAGUUGUAUGGGUGCAGGAGUGGAAAGUAUCCUCAGGAAGUCUGCCAAUGAUACUAACCUGGGAAGUGCUAUUGACUCCCUGUAGGGACGAGAGGCCUUGCAGAGGGAUCUAGAUGUGUUGGAGCACUGGAUUAUUAGAAAUAACAUGAAAUUCAACGAAGGUAAAUGCUGAGUGCUGCACCUGGGACAGAGCAAUGCUGGACACAAGCAGAGAUGGGAGCUGAGUGGCUGGAGAACAGCUCAGCAGAAGGGACCUGGGCUGCUGGUGAGAGCAGAUCAGCAUGAGCCAGCAGUGUGUCCUGGCAGCCAAGGGGCGAAUUACAUCUUAGUGUGAAUUAAACAAAAUGCUGACAGAUGGAGGGGGAGGAGCCAGGACAGGUGCCUGAAUUAGGCCCGAGGGUUGUUCCAUACCAGGUGAUGCCAUGCUGAAGGCCAUAAGGCUGUGGGGAGUUGACUGAAGGUGGCAGCUACUUGGAGGUUGUGGGGCAUUAGUCAGCGGGGAUGAGACCUUGCACUGGUAGUGGAGUGUGGUAUUGUUGCUAUGUGUUGGCAAGUGUAUGGCAGCUAUUAUAUAUAAUUAUCCUUGUAUUUUUGUUUCCAUUUUCCUCUUCUUAGUACAUAAUUUUUAUCUUAACCCAUGAGUUUUAUUUUGUUUCCAGUCUCUCCCUCAUCCCACCUGGAGGUUGCAGUGAGUGAAUGGCUGGUGCUGAGCUGCUGCCAGGUUAAGGCACAGCACCAACAGUGCCCAGGUGAUCAUGAAUAGAAAUAAUUGAAAAUCUGAGUUUGUUGGUUCACAAUACAGCAACAAAACUUUAAACAGAGGAAACUUUAUUCCAAAAGAAAACUCUGUAUCCCCCCGAGAACACCUGAGGGACUAAGUCAUAACACUAUAAGCAGCCUUGGUAUACAAAGGGAACAAAAGUCAGAAAUUAAAUGCACGGAAGAAUACAAAUGCAGCAGCACUGAUUCAUCUGAAUACAGAGAAAAAGGUCUUCAAGUGAGAUGGCUGCCAGAAGAUAAAAAGGAUUUGAUUAAAAUAUGUCACUAA
This 1189-nucleotide long non-coding RNA is filed under the name Numida meleagris (helmeted guineafowl). RNAcentral's name for it is "lncRNA (ENSNMEG00000009662.1)". Lineage: Eukaryota; Metazoa; Chordata; Aves; Galliformes; Numididae. The record is from RNAcentral.